This 177-nucleotide ribosomal RNA is filed under the name Triticum aestivum (bread wheat). Its description in RNAcentral is "partial small subunit ribosomal RNA". The record is from RNAcentral. Lineage: Eukaryota; Viridiplantae; Streptophyta; Magnoliopsida; Poales; Poaceae.
AUGGAAAGUGUUCAAUUAGAACAUGAAAACGUGACUCAAUUGGUCUUAGUUAGUCUUCGGGACGGAGUGGAAGAAGGGCGGAGACUCUCGAACGAGGAAAAGGAUCCCUUCGAAAGAAUUGACCGAGGAGAUGUAUGUGGUGAAAAUCUCAUGUACGGUUCUGUAAAGGGACAGUAA